UACAGAGGGUGCAAGCGUUGUUCGGAAUUAUUGGGCGUAAAGCGCGUGUAGGCGGCUUUGCAAGUCGGGUGUGAAAUCCCUCAGCUCAACUGAGGAAGUGCGCCCGAAACUGCAGAGCUUGAGUACCGGAGAGGAUGGCGGAACUCCCCAAGUAGAGGUGAAAUUCGUAGAUAUGGGGAGGAACACCGGUGGCGAAGGCGGCUCACUGGCUCAUUACUGACGCUCAGGCGCGAUAGCGUGGGGAUCAAACAGG
Molecule: ribosomal RNA, 253 nt
Filed under: uncultured bacterium
Lineage: Bacteria
Description: partial 16S ribosomal RNA
Rfam family: Bacterial small subunit ribosomal RNA
Source: RNAcentral